AAAAUUGGCAAUUAGUGAUGCAUGGGUGCAUGGGCGUGUACAGGCCCAUGAAAUCAUUCCAUUUGAUCCACAAUUGAGUGUGAGCAAGUUUGAAAGUGAAUUGGAAUGCAAGGCAAAUGUGUAUGGAAGUUUGAAGUUUGAUCUUUGCCACUUGAUGAUAUCAUGUUCAAGCCAUGCGCAACCCUAGCAAUUCUUGUCCAAAAUGGAUGAAAUUAGACUUUUUAGGAAGGUUAGAUCAAGAGGAA
RNAcentral lists this long non-coding RNA (245 nucleotides) under Lathyrus oleraceus (garden pea). Its description in RNAcentral is "Pisum sativum (pea) long non-coding RNA (PSAT_LNC025421)". The record is from RNAcentral. Lineage: Eukaryota; Viridiplantae; Streptophyta; Magnoliopsida; Fabales; Fabaceae.